AGCCCUCCUCUAGCUCAACUAUAAUUCUACCUCCAUAUAAACAAUCAACUAAAGCACUAAACUAAAACAUUCUAUAUACUUAGUACAGGCGAUAGAAAAGUCACUUGACGCAAUAGAGACCUCCGUACCGUAAGGGAAAGAUGAAAUAAUAGUGAAAAAGCAAGCAAGAAAUAGCAAAGACUAACCCUUGUACCUUUUGCAUCAUGAUUUAGCAAGAAUACUCAAGCAAAGUGAACUUAAGCUUGCCACCCCGAAACCCAAGCGAGCUACUUACAAGCAGCUACCAUGAGCGAACCCGUCUCUGUAGCAAAAGAGUGGGAAGACUUGUUAGUAGAGGUGAAAAGCCAAUCGAGCUGGGUGAUAGCUGGUUGCCUGUAAAACGAAUCUAAGUUCACCCCUAAUUUUUCCCCUCCCGGACACUUAAUUAGCCUUAUAUAUGAGGAGAGUUAGGAGAAAUUUAAAGGAGGUACAGCUCCUUUAAAGAAGAAUACAUUCUACACCAGAGGGUAACUCAUUUCCCCCAACACACGUAGGCCCUAAAGCAGCCACCAUUAGAGAGUGCGUCAAAGCUCACUUAUAUUAAAAAUCUAAAAACAUCAGGAACCCCUCAACCACUAACAGGCUAACCUAUGAUAAUAGGAGAAUUAAUGCUAAAAUGAGUAAUUAGAAGAUCCUUCUCUCAAGCGCAGGCUUACAUCUAACAUUAUUAACAGACCGACUUAUAUCUACACCAACAAGAACACAUAUAGAAUUACCCUGUUAACCCAACUCAGGAGCGCUUAUUAGAAAGAUUAAAAUCUGCAAAAGGAACUAGGCAAACCAAAGGCCCGACUGUUUACCAAAAACAUAGCCUUCAGCUAACAACAAGUAUUGAAGGUGAUGCCUGCCCAGUGACUUAUGUUUAACGGCCGCGGUAUCCUAACCGUGCGAAGGUAGCGCAAUCAAUUGUCCCAUAAAUCGAGACUUGUAUGAAUGGCUAAACGAGGUCUUAACUGUCUCUUGCAGAUAAUCAGUGAAAUUGAUCUUCCUGUGCAAAAGCAGGAAUAUGGACAUAAGACGAGAAGACCCUGUGGAACUUAAAAAUCGAGGACCAAUGCAUUUAACUUCCGAACCUACUGAGGCUCACUUUAUAUGCAAUAAUGGUCCCUAUUUUUCGGUUGGGGCGACCUUGGAGAAAAAAGAAUCCUCCAAAAAUAAGACCAUAAACCUUAACUAAGAACCACACCUCAAAGUACUAACAGUAACCAGACCCAAUAUAAUUGAUUAAUGAACCAAGCUACCCCAGGGAUAACAGCGCAAUCUCCUUCAAGAGCCCAUAUCGACAAGGAGGUUUACGACCUCGAUGUUGGAUCAGGACAUCCUAAUGGUGCAGCCGCUAUUAAGGGUUCGUUUGUUCAACGAUUAACAGUCCUACGUGAUCUGAGUUCAGACCGGAGCAAUCCAGGUCGGUUUCUAUCUAUGCAGCACUCUUCCCAGUACGAAAGGACCGGAAAAGUAAGGCCAAUACUAAAUAUGCACGCCUUCCCUCUAAUUAGUGAAAUCAACUCAACUAAGAAGAAAGCCCCCACAUAUAACUCACACCCUAGAAAAGGGUUA
RNAcentral lists this ribosomal RNA (1596 nucleotides) under Dromaius novaehollandiae (emu). RNAcentral describes it as "16S ribosomal RNA". It matches the Rfam family "Bacterial large subunit ribosomal RNA". Lineage: Eukaryota; Metazoa; Chordata; Aves; Casuariiformes; Dromaiidae. The record is from RNAcentral.